GCUGUAGCUCAGUGGUAGACUACUUGCAUAAUAUGCAUGAAGCUCUGGGUUCAAUCUCCAGCAUAGAAGCA
RNAcentral lists this transfer RNA (71 nucleotides) under Marmota monax (woodchuck). RNAcentral's name for it is "tRNA.Ile". The record is from RNAcentral. Lineage: Eukaryota; Metazoa; Chordata; Mammalia; Rodentia; Sciuridae.